CACCUCCAGCAUAACAACUAUUGGGAGGCACUGCCUGCCCAGUGACAUCUGUUAAACGGCCGCGGUAUCCUGACCGUGCAAAGGUAGCAUAAUCAUUUGUUCUCUAAAUAAGGACUUGUAUGAAUGGCCACACGAGGGUUUUACUGUCUCUUACUUCCAAUCUGUGAAAUUGACCUUCCCGUGAAGAGGCGGGAAUUAACUAAUAAGACGAGAAGACCCUAUGGAGCUUUAAUUAAUUAGCCUAUAAAUAAAAUAAUAAACUUCUAAGGAAGACAAAAUAUCUUUUAAUAGGCUAACAAUUUAGGUUGGGGUGACCUCGGAAUAUAAAGAAACUUCCGAGUGAUUAAAGUAUAGACUAACUAGUCAACACACACUAUCAAUUAUUGAUCCAAGAAAUUGAUCAACGGAACAAGUUACCCUAGGGAUAACAGCGCAAUCCUACUUGAGAGUCCAUAUCGAUAGUGGGGUUUACGACCUCGAUGUUGGAUCAGGACAUCCUAAUGGUGCAGCCGCUAUUAAUGGUUCGUUUGUUCAACGAUUAAAGUCCU
RNAcentral lists this ribosomal RNA (548 nucleotides) under Dobsonia moluccensis (Moluccan bare-backed fruit bat). RNAcentral describes it as "partial 16S ribosomal RNA". It matches the Rfam family "Bacterial large subunit ribosomal RNA", at positions 1816 to 2597 of the family's 2925-position model. The record is from RNAcentral. Lineage: Eukaryota; Metazoa; Chordata; Mammalia; Chiroptera; Pteropodidae.